GAUGAAGAACGCAGCGAAAUGCGAUACUUGGUGUGAAUUGCAGAAUCCCGUGAACCAUCGAGUCUUUGAACGCAAGUUGCGCCCGAAGCCAUUAGGCCGAGGGCACGCCUGCCUGGGCGUCACACGUCGUUGCCCCCCCAUCUACUCCUUCGGGAUUGCGAGGGGCGGAUGAUGGCCUCCCGUGCGCCUCGUCGCGCGGUUGGCAUAAAUGCCAAGUCCUCGGCGACGCACGCCACGACAAUCGGUGGUUGCGAAACCUCGGUUGCCCGUCGUGUGCGGUCGUCGCGCAUCGAGGGCUCGAAAAAAUUGCCGGGCUCCGGCUCGGCUUUCAACGCGACCCCAGGUCAGGCGGGGUUACCCGCUGAAUUUAAGCAUAUCAUAAGCGGAGGA
This 390-nucleotide unclassified non-coding RNA is filed under the name soil metagenome. RNAcentral describes it as "partial contains 5.8S ribosomal RNA, internal transcribed spacer 2, and large subunit ribosomal RNA". The stretch from base 1 to 122 matches the Rfam family "5.8S ribosomal RNA", at positions 35 to 154 of the family's 154-position model. The record is from RNAcentral.